AUUUAUAUAAUAUAUAAAGUAUAUUUGAUUUCCAAUCAAAAAGAUUAAUUUUUAAUAUAAAUA
Molecule: transfer RNA, 63 nt
Filed under: Micrasema sp. XG-2021
Lineage: Eukaryota; Metazoa; Arthropoda; Insecta; Trichoptera; Brachycentridae
Description: tRNA-Gly
Source: RNAcentral